Molecule: long non-coding RNA, 2243 nt
Organism: Bos taurus (domestic cattle)
Lineage: Eukaryota; Metazoa; Chordata; Mammalia; Artiodactyla; Bovidae
Source: Ensembl
GAAGAUUUUUAUCUAACUCUGAAAAGUCAGACUUUUCCCUGGUGAUCCAGUGGUUAUGACUCUGUGCUUCACAUCCAGGGGGCUUGGGUUCAAUCCCUGACUGAGGAACUAACAUUCCACAUGCCAUGGAGCAUAGCCAAAAAUUAAAAAUUAAAAAAAAAAAGAAAAAUCACCUAGUCCCAGGAAGGAGUUGAGAGGCUAAAAUAACCCCAAGGGUUCUACAGUCAUUCACAUUCAUACUGCACGCAUGUGUGGUCAAUUGUCUUUGUGUGGUCUGACUCUUUGAGACCCCAUGGACCAUAGCCCACCAGGCUCCUCUGUCCAUGGGAUUUACCAGGCAGGAAUACUGAAGCGGGUUGCCAUUUCCUUCUUCAGGGGAUCUUCCCAAUGCAGGGAUUAAAUGCAAGCCUCCCAUGUCUCCUGGAUUGGCAGGUGGGUUCUUUACCACUGAGCAACCUGGAAAGCCUCACUCACGGUGACCGGUUCUAAACGCAUCAUCCACCAUUGGCGGGGCAGAUAAACGAAAAAGGCUGCAGCCUAGAAAUGGUGGCUACAUCAUUCCUCGAGGCCACAGUCAAGGUCGCCCAGUUGGUGGAUGGGGUUUAAACUAAUGUUUUGCUCAUGACAUGAUGGUCCACUUCAGAAGCUGAUUGGAGGGGUCACCCCAGAUCAUAGGAAGCUUAAAUUUUUUCUUAAUCUCAUUCCCCCUCCUCCUCGGUGCUCCCCCAAUUUAGGGUGGGAAAUACAGCUUUUAAUUCCUGCCACCAGCUAGCCAUGAGCUCCCAAAGUCACUUGCUGCUUUCUUUCCAUGAGUAAAAUGGGGUUAAUAAAGAUCUGCUCUCCACGCUGUAAGAGCUGAGUGAGACACAGGACCUCAGAGCACUCUAUCAGCACUCACGUGCUCGACAGAUAUGAAGACAGUUACCCUGAAUAUUCACUGGAAGGACAAGGCUGAAGCUCCAGUACUAUGGCCACUCGAUGCGAAGAGCCGACUCAUUGGAAAAGACCCUGAUGCUGGGAAAGAUAGAAGGCAGGAGGAGAAGGGGGCGGCAGAGGAUGAGAUGGUUGUAUAGCAUCACUGACUCAGUGGACAUGAGUUUGAACAAAUUUCCUUCUGACUGUCGUGGGGCUAACUGGUACCAUGCAGGGCCUGUGGGGCUCCCGGGCACAAAGACUUUCUGUGUCCCCCAUUUCUUUGAUUAUAGGAACCAGCCUUCAUUCAGCCACCAUGACAUUCUCUGAGUUCCAAGGGACAGAUUCAAGCAGUUGUUAAUUAGGGGAAGGAGGGGAUGCAAGACCAGGGAGAAAGUCAAGAGCAGCCUUGGGGUACUGAAACCCCCUCCAGGUGGGAGAAGUUAAUGAUUAAUGAUGGUAUGCUGCCAACAAACCUGUAGACCCCAGACCAGUUAGACCUGAAGGUUGACGAUGCUGACUCCUGCUUACCUGACCACCAACCUAUCAGAAGAAUGUCCACAAACAGAUCAUACCCUCUUUGAGCAGUUACUAUAAAACUUCUCACUCCCUUCCCCAAGCUGGGACACAUGGUUGAGGGCAUUAGCCUACUUUGGCCCCUUUUGCUUGGCAAGGUGAUAAAGCCCAAAACUACUUCACCCAAAACUUGGUUUCAGAGAUUCGAUUUGGCACUGGUGUGCAGAGAAGCUGAGCUUUGGGCCUCGUAAUGCCUGACUGCCUUCAGGCUGACUUUGAUUAUUCUUAAGGCUUUAGGCAUUGAAUUAUUUUCAUGGCUGCUUACCAUUAAUUGUAGGAGGAAUCUACAACCCUACUCCAGAAUCCUUUCUCUGACAGCAAAAGUGUUUGAUUUUUCUACAGACAGUUAAGUUUUAUGUAAAAUAAAUGGUCAAAAAUGAAAAAUAGUCAUCCCUCUUUUGGAAUGUUUUCAUUGUUGUUUUAGUCACUCAGUCAUGUCCACCCCAUGGGCUGUUUUAGUCGCUCAGUCGUGUCCACCCCAUGGGCUGUUUUAGUCGCUCAGUCGUGUCCACCCCAUGGGCUGUUUUAGUCGCUCAGUCGUGUCCACCCCAUGGGCUGCAGCCCACCAGGGUCCUCUGUCCACAGGAUUUCCCAGGCAAGAAUACUAGAGUGGGUUGCCAUUUCCUUCUCCAGGGGAUCUUCCCGAUCCAGGAAUUGAACCCACAUCUCGUGCAUUGGCUACCAGAUUCUUUACCACUGAGCCACCAGGGAAGCCCCUUCUGGACUGUACUGGAGGCAAUGUAGUAUAGACAGAG